AGAGAGGAAGGAUAACCGGAAAAGCUCCCGAGUGACAGACUGAUGGCCGGAAAUGCCUGUGUGCGCAUAGCUGUCCGCCCCUCGAGUGAGAGUAAGGCUGUGUUGGCGCUCCGUUUCAGCCUCCUUUUUGCUCUCUUGCUACAUUCCUGGAGAGGGAGGGCCACCUAGCCACUUCUCGGCCGAGGCGAAGGUUCGAGGACCGUAUCCUUUGUCCGAGCAUCGCUGCAGUGGCGGACCACACGGAAAAAUUGUUCUAUACUCAGCAUUUUUCUCAACUUUUUCAUCCACCUCCAAGAUCUACAAUUCGCUGCAGUAAGAAGUAAACCAGCCCUCAGUGAUCCAGUGAAACCGUUGCUGGAGUGCAGAACCUGGAAAAUUUAAGUGCUGAGGUCAAAAUUCAGGAUGAACAGAUGGAAACAGAAACAUAGUUCAGAGGCUGAAUAAAGAAUUCCAAGACCUACAGCCAAGAGGAGACAGUUUGAAAAUUGUACCUUUGGUUUAUUGUCCAAGGGUGGCAGAGUUAUUCCUGUUGUAAAGUGUUUCUGCUUUUUUCCUGGCGACCACUAAAAUCAUACAGGAAUGUGUUUUUAUUAAAUUGCAAUUUUUUUCCCAUUCAUUUUAAUCAUUGAAAUAAAAUCAAUUCAUAGUAAGACUAUAUUUAAAGAGAUAUAUAAAUGUUAUGCGAAAUAUCUUUGAAGAUAAUCAGUGUGAUUGUUGUUAUUGAAUGAGAACUCACUAAUUUUUCUGCCCUUGGAUUUAAAGAUGUAACUACAAAAGCAAGACCAAACACCAGUUACUUUCUAAACUUUGAUUUUCUUACUGUUCAGUAAAAAUGCUGCUUUACAAUGUAGUUAAAAAGGGAGUAAAAUUUGCAUUGUCUUUUUGGAGAGAUGAAUAUUCUAUCUUUACUUUUAGUCCAGAAUGAGUUCUAACCAUCAAAAUAAGUUACUAUUAAAUCAUCAAUUUUCUUCUUCAGUGACCCUCAAGUGUAGUAUGCAAAUGAAAUCACGUUUUGGCAAUUUACAAAUGUAUCUAAUUCAGAUUUUCCCCAACACCUAAUGGACAAUAAUUAUUGCAUAUGCAAAAAAAAAAAUCAUUAAAUGUUCACAAAUAAUGCUUGUGAUGUUUCUCAUUUUCCAAGUCUGAUUCAUUUUAAGAAUUCAGAAAGUGAAGGUAGCAUUUUAUAGUCAGUAGUCUUUUUUUUUUUUUUAACCUUUUCUUAAAUGUCAAUUUGAUAGCAAACUUGAGGUCAUAAUACCUUUAAGACUCAAAUUUAAUUCAGAUGUAAGUGAGGCUACAAUUUACAAAUAAAUAUACUUCCUCAUGAAAAUAUUUAACCAUAUUUAAAUCUUUUAAUUUUAAAAUAUUUCAGUUUCAAGUGGAAAUCCAAUUCCAGUAUGAAGUGAUAAAUCUGUAUGCUUAAACUUCAUCUUUUACAAAUUUAGUGUAUUGCUCUUAACAAAAUUUACAACUUGGUUACAUUGUAUAAGAACUUCAUUAAGCCAUGGAGACUUGUUUCCUGCUUUGUGUUCAUGGUGAAUAAACAAUGUAUAAAUCCAA
Antechinus flavipes (yellow-footed antechinus) is the source of this 1560-nucleotide long non-coding RNA. RefSeq lists it as uncharacterized. The transcript is spliced from 3 exons. Lineage: Eukaryota; Metazoa; Chordata; Mammalia; Dasyuromorphia; Dasyuridae. The record is from RefSeq and is a predicted model, not a curated record.